This 515-nucleotide ribosomal RNA is filed under the name uncultured bacterium. RNAcentral describes it as "partial 16S ribosomal RNA". It matches the Rfam family "Bacterial small subunit ribosomal RNA", at positions 28 to 523 of the family's 1533-position model. The record is from RNAcentral.
GACGAACGCUGGCGGCGUGCCUAACACAUGCAAGUCGAACGGAGUGUUUAUUUAUAAACACUUAGUGGCGAACGGGUGAGUAACGCGUAGACAACCUACCCUCUAGAUGGGGACAACACCGCGAAAGUGGUGCUAAUACCGAAUGUUGUAAUGUUAUUGCAUAAUGAUAUUACUAAAGGUGGCCUCUAUAUAUAAGCUACCGCUAGAAGAUGGGUCUGCGUCUGAUUAGCUAGUUGGUGAGAUAACAGCUCACCAAGGCAAUGAUCAGUAGCCGGUCUGAGAGGAUGAACGGCCACACUGGGACUGAGACACGGCCCAGACUCCUACGGGAGGCAGCAGUGGGGAAUCUUCCGCAAUGGACAAAAGUCUGACGGAGCGACGCCGCGUGAGUGAUGAAGGCCCUUGGGUCGUAAAGCUCUGUCAUUGGGGACGAACGACCGCAUCAGGAAAUGGGUGCGGAGUGACGGUACCCAAGAAGGAAGCCACGGCUAACUACGUGCCAGCCGCCGCGGUAA